GUGUCAGCAGCCGCGGUAAGACAGAGGUGCCGAGCGUUAGGCGGAAUCACUGGGCUUAAAGCGUGUGUAGGCGGAUGGGUAAGUACCUUGUGAAAUCCCACGGCUCAACCGUGGAACUGCUCGGUAUACUGCUCGUCUUGAGCCAACUAGGGGCGACCGGAACAAACGGUGGAGCGGUGAAAUGCGUAGAUAUCGUUUGGAACGCCGAUGGUGAAAACAGGUCGCUGGGGUUGUGCUGACGCUGAGACACGAAAGCCAGGGGAGCGAACGGGAUUAGAUACCCCGGUAGUCC
RNAcentral lists this ribosomal RNA (292 nucleotides) under uncultured bacterium. RNAcentral's name for it is "partial 16S ribosomal RNA". It matches the Rfam family "Bacterial small subunit ribosomal RNA", at positions 505 to 796 of the family's 1533-position model. The record is from RNAcentral.